This 303-nucleotide ribosomal RNA is filed under the name Vryburgia amaryllidis. RNAcentral's name for it is "partial small subunit ribosomal RNA". The record is from RNAcentral. Lineage: Eukaryota; Metazoa; Arthropoda; Insecta; Hemiptera; Pseudococcidae.
GCACUAUAAGAUAAAUUAAUUAAAUUUUAUAUAUCAUUAUAUUUAAAAAUAAAUUAUAAAAAAUUAUUUUAAUUUUUAUUAAUAAAGUUAAAUUAAAUCAAGAUGUAAAAUAAUUAAUAUUUAAUGAAUUAUAAUUAAUAAAAUUAAAUUUAAUAUGAUUAAAUUAUAUUUUAAUAAAAUUUUAAAGUAAUUUUAUUUUAUUAAAUAAGAUGAAUUAAUUUAUUAUUAUGUACAAAUUGCCCGUCACUUUUAAAUAUAAAAUAAGUCGUAACAAAGUAAAUAUAUUGGAAAAUGUAUUUUUAA